CCUACGGGAGGCAGCAGUGAGGAAUAUUGGUCAAUGGCCGGAAGGCUGAACCAGCCAUGCCGCGUGAAGGUCAGUGCCCUUUGGGCGUUAAACUUCUUUUGUGCGGGAGCAAUAAUGGUCACGUGUGGCCAGACGAGAGUACCGGUCGAAUAAGCAUCGGCUAACUCCGUGCCAGCAGCCGCGGUAAGACGGGGGAUGCCAGCGUUUACCGGAUUUUUUGGGUUUAAAGGGUGCGUAGGCUGUGAGGUAAGGCAGCGGUGAAAUGCCCCCGCUCAACGGGGUGAAGUGCCAUUGAUACUGCCUUGCUGGAAUGCGGAUGCCGUGGGAGGAAUGUGUGGUGUAGCGGUGAAAUGCAUAGAUAUCACACAGAACACCGAUUGCGAAGGCAUCUCACGGAUCCGCGAUUGACGCUGAUGCACGAAAGCGUGGGUAUCAAACAGGAUUAGAUACCCGAGUAGUC
This 460-nucleotide ribosomal RNA is filed under the name uncultured bacterium. Its description in RNAcentral is "partial 16S ribosomal RNA". It matches the Rfam family "Bacterial small subunit ribosomal RNA", at positions 338 to 795 of the family's 1533-position model. The record is from RNAcentral.